This 497-nucleotide ribosomal RNA is filed under the name uncultured bacterium. RNAcentral's name for it is "partial 16S ribosomal RNA". It matches the Rfam family "Bacterial small subunit ribosomal RNA", at positions 28 to 507 of the family's 1533-position model. The record is from RNAcentral.
GAUGAACGCUGGCGGCGUGCCUAAUACAUGCAAGUAGAGCGAAGGAGGGAGAGCUUGCUUCUUCUGAUGAGUGGGGAACGGGGGAGUGAGACAGAUGGAAAAUGCGUAGAAGAGGCGGAUAACAGUUGGGGAAAACGGAGAUAAGAGCAGAAAAUAGUAUAUUCCGUGUGAUCUAAGAGGAAAAGACAAUUGUGUUAUUACUAGGAGAUGGAGCUGCGCUGCAUUAGCUAGUUGGUAAGGCAACGGCCUACCCAGGCAACGAUGCAUAGCCGACCUGAGAGGAUGAUCGGCCACCCUGGACUUGAGCCACGGUCCAGACCCAUACGGGAGGCAGCAGUAGGGAAUCUUCCACAAUGGGCGAAAGCCUGACGGAGCCACGCCGCGUGAGUGAUGAAGGUCUUCGGAUCGUAAAACUCUGUUAUUUGGGAAGAACAUAUGUGUAAGUCACUGUGCACCCCUUGACGGUACCUACUCAGAAAGCCACGGCUAACUCCGUG